AUUGAACGCUGGCGGCAGGCCUAACACAUGCAAGUCGAACGAGUGGCGGACGGGUGAGUACUGUCUGGGAAACUGCCUGAUGGAGGGGGAUAACUACUGGAAACGGUAGCUAAUACCGCAUACCAUCAGAUGUGCCCAGAUGGGAUUAGCUUGUUGGUGGGGUAAAGGCUCACCAAGGCGACGAUCCCUAGCUGGUCUGAGAGGAUGCCCAGCCACACGGGAACGGAGACACGGGCAAGACUCCUACGGGAGGUAGCAGGGGGGAAUAUUGCACAAUGGGCGCAAGCCUGAUGCAGCCAUGCCGAGUGUAUGAAGAAGGCCUUCGGGUUGUAAAGUACUUGCAGCGGGGAGGCGUUACCCGCAGAAGAAGCACCGGCUAACUCCGUGCCAGCAGCCGCGGUAAUAC
RNAcentral lists this ribosomal RNA (406 nucleotides) under uncultured bacterium. RNAcentral describes it as "partial 16S ribosomal RNA". It matches the Rfam family "Bacterial small subunit ribosomal RNA", at positions 29 to 526 of the family's 1533-position model. The record is from RNAcentral.